Molecule: non-coding RNA, 89 nt
Organism: Eucalyptus grandis
Lineage: Eukaryota; Viridiplantae; Streptophyta; Magnoliopsida; Myrtales; Myrtaceae
Source: Rfam
AAGCCAAUGAGGAUUUGUGUUUUUUGUUGGAAUUACCGGCUGAAUUUGCAUUGAUGUCAAAUACACUGGCUAUUUAUCUGAGGCUUCCC